ACCACAAGUUUAUCUCCCCACCUCCCAUCAUAUUCAAUGCAGAGUUCAUCUCGCCCUCCCAGGGAAUCUGACCUAUUUAACAUUGGGCUGUUGGCACACAUGGCCGUGCCAUGGCAGGCAUUAGAACCGAGCCCAGAUAAAUAUUGGAUGGCGCACUGAUCUGGGCUCGGGCCCCCCUUGAGCUCUGAUCACCUCCCACCCCCCCUGCUGCUGCUUACCAUCCCACUGCCUCCCGCUGCCAAGCAAACACUGAUUAGCCUAAUCUCUCCGAGACAGCCUCCCCUAUUGGGCUCAGAAAGAAGAUAGGUUACAACAUAGCCAAAACGGCAAGUGCCGAACGGCAUAUUUGCACGAGCAAAUGUGUAACAGGAGCACGUAGUCGGGGAAAAAGAAUGGCAUUUAUUUUUAGGUAGACGGGAUGGGGAGAAAAUGCAAUGUGAAUGAGGGGGUCGGAGAGGGGAGAAGUAGCUGCCUUGCUACGGCUGUUGGGUGCAGAUGCGUUGACGUUGACGAUGACGAUGCUGCUGGUGCUGUUAUUUUCCAACGGUUGCCAAAAGAGCAGCGAAGAAAAAUGCCAAGGUCGGCCAAGACUGAUAAGCACAGGUUGAGAGCUGUAAGGACGGAUUCUUCUGGGCAAUGACAGCUUUGUGCCAUCACAAAGCAGGUAAUCUGAAAAAUCAGAGAGUGCUUUUGCAGAGGGGGAAGCUUCGCAUGAAGCCUUUUGGAGAUGGGAGAACAGGCAGUCAUCAAGGGAUCUGUGCCGUCAAGGAAUUACAGCGCAAACAUCACGACGGAUGUUUACAAAGAUUUACAAAUCAUACCUGUGGAGGUUAGAAAGGUAUUCAGACUACUGCAGCCAUUGGCUUUCCUUACUGGUCCAAGCAGACCAGAGAGAGGAGACCAGAGAGAGAAAGACUCGGAGCCCAGAUAGAACCUGAAUACAGCUGUGAGAGACGCACAACACAGUCCAAGUUCCUUCCAUCCAGGGGGCUUUGAGUGAAAGGCUGUACUGAUUCCAAACAGACCAUCUUCUCGUCUGAGCAGGCCAGAAGGCCUGUGGAAUGUAUUAGACAGGGGCAUGUAUGGACAUGCAGAACCAGGCAGCUGAAAUACAGAGGGCUUCAAGAUGGGGGAUUCGUCAAAAAACUACUGGAAAGCAGAGGCCUGCUUCUGCGUCACUCUUUCGAGCACGAGUGUAGGUGUGUGUGUGUGUGUGUGUGUGUAGGUGUGCAUCUAGUGGCUGGUUUG
This is a long non-coding RNA of Clupea harengus (Atlantic herring), 1248 nucleotides long. RefSeq lists it as uncharacterized. The record is from RefSeq and is a predicted model, not a curated record. Lineage: Eukaryota; Metazoa; Chordata; Actinopteri; Clupeiformes; Clupeidae.